This 90-nucleotide transfer RNA is filed under the name Candidatus Saccharimonadota bacterium. RNAcentral describes it as "tRNA-Ser". It matches the Rfam family "tRNA". From Rfam's summary of the family: Transfer RNA (tRNA) molecules are approximately 80 nucleotides in length. Their secondary structure includes four short double-helical elements and three loops (D, anti-codon, and T loops). RNAcentral also lists the same sequence under 1 other name. The record is from RNAcentral. Lineage: Bacteria; Candidatus Saccharimonadota.
GGAGAGGUGACCGAGCGGUUGAAGGUACCGGUCUUGAAAACCGGCGUGGGCUAAUACUCACCGUGGGUUCGAAUCCCACCCUCUCCGCCA